Molecule: long non-coding RNA, 4010 nt
Filed under: Homo sapiens (human)
Lineage: Eukaryota; Metazoa; Chordata; Mammalia; Primates; Hominidae
Description: HSALNT0155228
Source: RNAcentral
CACCCCACCUGCAGUCUUCACCACCUCGCCGGCGGCCACGGGGGCUAAAAACGAUAAGAGAGACGGUGGGGGGUGCAUUUUGUGGGCAUCUGACUCUUCCAGGGCUGGGCGGAGCCAAGGACACUGGGCUUGGAGUCAUUCGGGCUGGAUGGGGCUGAACCCGCCCAUGUCUAUGGCCUGCUGAGUCCUGUCCUCUUGCAGAGCUCUUUUCGUCAUCUGCGCAAUGGCAGGAAUGAGACGGAAACCAGUGAAGCGUUCCUCGCAGGGCCUGGACUUAUCUUGGAUAACAUUUGCAGUGACCUUAUGAGGUAAGGAUGGCCACUUGGAACCCUUGAAGCUGUGAGUCCCCUUGACUUCCUCCCAGGCACUGCCCUCCCAGAAGUGAAGGUACCAGGAGGCAGAGGAAACAGUAGCACCACGGUGCCAUCCUGGAUCCAACGGAGCAGGUGACAGACAGCAGGGGUCACAGGCAGGCCAACUUGGACUGAGGAAAAAAAAGUCGCAGGAAAGCAGCUGGGCAUCCUGCCUUGCUUCGCCCUUGGACUUCUGCAGGGUCCGUUUGCCCUUUGUUUGACUCCCAGACCCCACUGAGCUGGGAACCAACCAGUGGGCUGGAAGCCCAGGAUGGGGUGGCCCACCUAGUAGGGACGACAUUUACUUGCACAAAAGAUGGUCUCCAGGAGCCCCUUCAGGACCGAAGCAGGGAAACACUGUCGCCCUGGAGAGCUGGGAGAGGGGGAGGCAGCAGCAGUCGCUGGCCAGAGAGGGGCGAAACAGAGCUCAGGGUCCCUGCAGCGGGUGGGGGAAGCUCAGGUCCAGGUGGGCUUUGUGUUCCUUGAGGUUCUCCGCCAAGGUUCUGCUUCAUCAGGCCUCUGCCGAGUUCUCUGGCCUCACCUGUCCACCGCUGCUCCGUGCAGCCACCUUUCCCCUGCUCCCCAAGGUGCGUCCAUUUCUGAGUUUCCCUCCUCUGGACCUGUGACCAUGCCAUCCCUCCUGCCUGGACUGCCUCCCAGUCUCUCAGUAGUACCACCUCCAGGUUCAGCUUGUGGUUCCGGCUGGUGGGUGUGCCACAGCCAGACGCUGUGCUCAGCGGGGAUACCCUAACCCUGGGUGAUCUGGGGUCACUCCCGUCAACCUGGGGGGCUCUGCAGGCAGGGAAGAGCCUCCUGGGUCUCUGCUCCAGCCCUGGCUUUACACAAAUGUGCCUGAGAAAACACGGUGUCCUGACACCUGGCCUCAUGCCACCUGGUGACGGCAUCUGAGCCAUCACCAGUGAUCAUUCACCCCUUUUCCCUUUUCCAGACAGCACGAAAAUCCAACACGCCCCUCACCGGAGGACUGGGAGGCUCCCGCGUUUUGGAUUCUGAAAAGCACUCCCUCGUUCACGUCUGCCUGGAUUCGCGCCCUCAAGCCCCCUGGCGCCCACUUUUCUUGCUCUCCAAACACUCGUUGAGGCCCGAGAGGGAGAUGCGAAGUUUGCCCACCACUGCGCGUCCCUCCUCCGCGAGGCGCCAAUGGGCCUGAGUCAGGGGCCUCCCCUUCAUCCGCUGGUCCCUCCCCUGUUCCCAGCUCCAGUUCCUCACCCGCUAUGGCUGGCCUGGCGCCUGUGGCCGUUCACCGUCUGCGAGGCAUCUGCGGGGACUGAAGUCGGGGAGGCAGCGGCGGGCUCUGGCAGAUACCAGGAGAUCCCGCCCCUCGGCCCGGGAGACCCCGCCCCUCGGCCACGCCCCUUUCCGCUCCCCACCCCGCCCUCUUGGGCCCCCCACCCGGCCCAGCCAGACAGAGACCUGCCUCCAGGUGGGUGGGAGGAGACCUUCAGUCCCUCGCCCCGGGCCUGUUGUCACUACCUCCCCCAAACACAUUGGUUAAAGUCACCCGAUUAGAAGGGGCCACCUGUGAGACUUGGAUCCAAAGCAAACUAGCGGAAGCUGAAGGGUCUUGGGGCUUCCCAGGCCUCUCGGAGGCCGGGAUGGUCGUGGAGGAGGGAGCGCUCAGUGCCUGGCCUACUGCCUGCCCUGAGCCGGCUCCCUACAGGACGCUUCUCCUGUACCUUCCACCUGCUGCGAGGAAGGGCUGGGGGCAGGCGUACCCAUUUUCCAGAGGAGAACUGAAGGCUCUCACCCCGGGUUAGGCCAGUGGCCGGAGGCAGAGCCGGGCCUUGAACCUGGCUUUCUGGAUCUUCAUCCAGGCCAUUCUAAAGGGGAUCACAGUUUCCAGGAGUCACUCCUGAAGAUGGUCAAGUACCAUGGAGGGGCAGGGCAUCCAUGGACCCUGAUUUGAGGCCCCGGAGCAGUUGGGACUGGUUUGGGCCACGGCUGGCCUAAUCUCCCCUCCACAGAGCCUGGGCAUUGUCCAGUUGGCAGCCAAGAGCCAUCUAUCCACUUUACAGCGGGCAGCUUUGACAGGCUGCUUGUUUCCAAGGACAAAGCCUGCAGGCUGUGGAAUGUUGAGAAUCACCUCUUUCUCUCAGGGACAUAAAGCAUGGCUGUGAGAGAGAUUUGUUUCUAGGAUGCUUUCCCUGACCUCCACUUAAAUUGGCUCAGGAGUUCCCUGAUCUCCACAAAUGUCAGGAACUUGUCCACCCGCCUGCCCCCAGCACCCAGGUUACACCUGACAAAGUAAGCGCUUUGGAAUGCUCCAACAGACCUAGUCAUACCAUACCCGGACAGAUGCCUUGCGUGUGUGUUUGAGGGUGGUGGUGCUGGGGACAGUGGGAAGGGACUCUGCCUCAUGGACCCCCAAGGCCAGACACCUGCACUGCUGCUUGUGGCCACUGGAGGGCGAAACAACUAUUUAGUGCCUACCUGCGGCAGGCCCCUCCUCAGCCUGGGAGAAAAGAGAUGCCCCUCCCGCCCACCCCCACCUGUCCCCACCUGUCCCCACUUGUCACUGGGGCAGCUCCGGAAGUAAAACGUGGACGCAGCUGGUGCAGUGGCCUUGAGCUGGCAGUCAGAACCUCUGCCUACCCCCAUCCCCCAUUCCAGGCCCUUCUCUGCCAACAACCAGCAUAGGGACCUGAAUAAGUCACAUCUCUGCUCUUGGUUUCAGAUGAUCUGUGACAUGCCUGGCCUGGAGCCUGGCACACAGCAGGUGCUCAGUAAAUACAUAUUUGGCCGGGCGCGAUGACUCACGUCUGUAACCCCAUCACUUUGGGAGGCCGAGGUGGAUGGAUCACCUGAGGUCACGUGUUUGAGACCAUCCUGGCCAACAUGGCGGAACCCUGUCUCUACUAAAAAUACAAAAAUUAGCUGGUUGUGGUGGCGCGUGCCUGUAAUCCCAGCUGCUGGGGAGGCUGAGGCAGGAGAACCUGGGAGGCGGAGGUUGCAGUGAGCCAAGAUCAUGCCAUCACACUCCAGCCUGGGUGACAGAACAAGGCUCAGUCUCAAAAUGAAUACAUACAUACAUACCUAUUUGUAUUAGGAGGAGAAAACCAAGAACCAGAGAAGAGAAGAGAAGGGAAGGGACCUGUGGCCACAUAGCAAGGCCAUGGCACAGCCGAAGUCUCCUCUGCUUUCCUCAUGCAGCCCCGUCCAACCCAUCUCUUUCAUCUCUUUUCUUAAAACUUAAAAAUAUUUUCAGGGGGGUGUGGUGGCUCAUGCCUAUAAUCCCAGCAAUUUGGGAGGAUGAGAUGGGAGGAUUGCUUGAGCCCGGGAGUUUGAGGCUGCAGUGAGCCACUGUAGUCCAGCCGGGGUGACACAGCCAGACUCCAUCUUUUUCUCUGUAUAUUUUUUCACCUCUACCUGAUGUGACUGAGUAACUGCUGGGGUACAUCACCUCUUUCAGGUGAUGGAAAUGUUCUAAAGUUGAUUAUGCUGAUGGUUGGUUGCCCAGCUGUGAAUGCAGUAAAAACAUUGAGCCGUACACUUUAAAUGGACAAGUUAUGUGUGAAUUAUAUCUCAAUAAAGCUCUGUGCCCCACCCAAAUCUCCUGUCAAACUGUGAUUCAUAGCGUUGGAAGUGGGGCCGGGUGGAAGGUGACUAGAUCAUGGGGGCGGAUCCUUCAUAAAUGAU